Molecule: non-coding RNA, 96 nt
Filed under: uncultured Caecibacter sp.
Lineage: Bacteria; Bacillati; Bacillota; Negativicutes; Veillonellales; Veillonellaceae
Description: SAM riboswitch (S box leader)
Rfam family: SAM riboswitch aptamer (S box leader)
About the family: The SAM riboswitch is found upstream of a number of genes which code for proteins involved in methionine or cysteine biosynthesis in Gram-positive bacteria. The SAM riboswitch acts at the level of transcription termination control. The predicted structure consists of a complex stem-loop region followed by a single stem loop terminator region.
Source: RNAcentral
UUCAUCAAGAGCAGCCGAGGGAAUGGCCCAAUGACACUGCGGCAACCCCCAAUCAUGGGAAGGUGCCAAGUCCAACGGAUUUAAUCCGGCAGAUGA